This 253-nucleotide ribosomal RNA is filed under the name uncultured bacterium. Its description in RNAcentral is "partial 16S ribosomal RNA". It matches the Rfam family "Bacterial small subunit ribosomal RNA", at positions 524 to 776 of the family's 1533-position model. The record is from RNAcentral.
UACGUAGGUGGCAAGCGUUGUCCGGAUUUACUGGGCGUAAAGGGCGUGCAGGCGGUUUGUUAAGUCUAGGGUGAAAGCUCCCGGCUCAACUGGGAGAGGUCCUUGGAUACUGGCAAACUUGAGGGAGGCAGAGGAGAGUGGAAUUCCCGGUGUAGUGGUGAUAUGCGUAGAUAUCGGGAGGAACACCAGUGGCGAAGGCGGCUCUCUGGGCCUUUCCUGACGCUGAGACGCGAAAGCGUGGGGAGCGAACAGG